This 253-nucleotide ribosomal RNA is filed under the name uncultured bacterium. Its description in RNAcentral is "partial 16S ribosomal RNA". It matches the Rfam family "Bacterial small subunit ribosomal RNA", at positions 524 to 776 of the family's 1533-position model. The record is from RNAcentral.
UACGUAGGGGGCAAGCGUUAUCCGGAUUUACUGGGUGUAAAGGGAGCGUAGACGGUAUGGCAAGUCUGAAGUGAAAGCCCAGGGCUUAACCCUGGGACUGCUUUGGAAACUGUUAGACUAGAGUGCUGGAGAGGUAAGUGGAAUUCCUAGUGUAGCGGUGAAAUGCGUAGAUAUUAGGAGGAACACCAGUUGCGAAGGCGGCUCUCUGGACUGUAACUGACACUGAGGCACGAAAGCGUGGGGAGCAAACAGG